Molecule: ribosomal RNA, 501 nt
Filed under: uncultured bacterium
Lineage: Bacteria
Description: partial 16S ribosomal RNA
Rfam family: Bacterial small subunit ribosomal RNA
Source: RNAcentral
AUUGAACGCUGGCGGCAGGCUUAACACAUGCAAGUCGAGCGGGGGAAGGUAGCUUGCUACCGGACCUAGCGGCGGACGGGUGAGUAAUGCUUAGGAAUCUGCCUAUUAGUGGGGGACAACAUCUCGAAAGGGAUGCUAAUACCGCAUACGUCCUACGGGCGAAAGCAGGGGAUCUUCGGACCUUGCGCUAAUAGAUGAGCCGAAGUCGGGUUAGCUAGUUGGUGGGGGAAAGGCGUACCAAGGCGACGAUCUGUAGCGGGUCUGAGAGGAUGAUCCGCCACACUGGGACGGAGACGCGGCCCAGACUCCUACGGAAGGCAGCAGUGGGGAAUAUUGGACAAUGGGGGGAACCCUGAUCCAGCCAUGCCGCGUGUGUGAAGAAGGCCUUAUGGUUGUAAAGCACUUUAAGCGAGGAGGAGGCUACUCUAGUUAAUACCUAGGGAUAGUGGACGUUACUCGCAGAAUAAGCACCGGCUAACUCUGUGCCAGCCGCCGCCGUAA